Long non-coding RNA from Pieris napi, 281 nucleotides. RefSeq lists it as uncharacterized. The record is from RefSeq and is a predicted model, not a curated record. Lineage: Eukaryota; Metazoa; Arthropoda; Insecta; Lepidoptera; Pieridae. The transcript is spliced from 2 exons.
UGAAUUUGUUGUUCCCGCGCCUUGUGGGUCGUGUUGUUAUUUCGAUAUCUGUGGUGGUUUCUGUCUGUGGUCCGAUUGUGGUGGGUCUCGUACGACGCGGGAAUGGACGGCGUUCCUUUACACUCUGUUGACAAACAUGAAGUCGGACUGUGGCAGACAAGGAGCCUUUAUUAACGAGAAAUAAAUGAACAACCUGGAUACUUUCUUUUCAUUGUGGAUUUUGCUGAAUUAUAUAUCAGAUAAAGACGUCAAGAUUUAAAUUGUAUAAUAAACUGAGCAUA